UACGGAGGGUGCAAGCGUUAUCCGGAUUUACUGGGUUUAAAGGGUGCGUAGGCGGACAGGUAAGUCAGUGGUGAAAUCUCCGAGCUUAACUCGGAAACUGCCUUUGAUACUCUCUGUCUUGAAUAUGGUGGAGGUAAGCGGAAUAUGUCAUGUAGCGGUGAAAUGCUUAGAGAUGACAUAGAACACCUAUUGCGAAGGCAGCUUACUACGCCUAUAUUGACGCUGAGGCACGAAAGCGUGGGGAUCAAACAGG
Molecule: ribosomal RNA, 253 nt
Filed under: uncultured bacterium
Lineage: Bacteria
Description: partial 16S ribosomal RNA
Rfam family: Bacterial small subunit ribosomal RNA
Source: RNAcentral